ACUCGCGGAUGAGCUCGUUGAUUAGAAGGUUGUCGUGCGACAGCGCAGGACGCGGCUCGCUCUGAUCGUCGAGCGCAUUGAACACCUCAGCUCUGAUCCGAGCCUUCAGCUGACCCAACACACCUCGAGACUCCAGGCUCUCUCUCAGAGCUGGGAGAGAAGAUAAGUUGUUGAAAAUGCUAUCAUAAAAACCUCUGCAACUUGUGGGGACAUAUUGAUAACGUAGACUUAAGGGUGAUGCCUUUCAGUGCCCAGUCCAGGCCCUUGCGGUACUGCAGUCCAUAGUCUUGGAACUCUAUAGUGCCAGUCUGAGGCCAGGCCAGAGGCAGGGAACUUCCCUCCACGGUCCACACAGCCUGGCUUUAUUAAAAAAACAUCUGAAAACGGAACAAUGUACACCAGUCACCACAUCAACUGGAUAUAUUAUUUUGCCAGAGCAUGUACUGCAAGGUGAAUGUGUUGUUUCUAUCAAACCUAACCUGGUGGCCACAAAGCGGGGGAAGUAGGAGGUCUGGUUGAAGUCGACCCUCUUGUUAGCCUGCACAAUGAAGCGGUGCUGUUCUCCGAAGGCCCGUAUGACACUGGCUCCCUGCACCGUCUCGUUGAAGUGGGUGUAGAUGGGCGAGCGGCUCACCGACUCCAGCCUCCGCAGCUGGCAGGAUGUGGCCACGUAGAAACUCUGUAUAAAAAUAAAACAUUACGUUU
Molecule: non-coding RNA, 705 nt
Organism: Oncorhynchus mykiss (rainbow trout)
Lineage: Eukaryota; Metazoa; Chordata; Actinopteri; Salmoniformes; Salmonidae
Source: RefSeq, a predicted model, not a curated record